GUUUGUUUAGGCCUAUGGUUAAUUAAAAGAAAACAUUUUUAUCAGCCUCAGCUCAAGGCAGAAACAAAGCCUUCCUGCUGGCACGAACUCAUCCUUUACAGCUCAGCCUGCUUCUCUUUUCUUGCCGUUCCCCCCCACGAGAAAAGUACUGCAACUUUGGGUCCCUAAUUGGAAACCCAAAUACACGGUUGAGCAGAUGCCUGGCAAGAAUACAGAAAGAUUAUUUUGAAAUCAUUUGCAAAAGAGAAUAUCAAAUGCAAACCCCUUUCUAACAAGGAACUCCAAACUUGGAAAGCACAGACCAAGGGACAAGUCUGAGCGAGUUGAAGCCACAAUGUGCUCGUCUCUGAAAUGGAGCAAACAGAGUGGUCUCCUGAAUUGCGGCGGGUGGAGUCAGAAGAAGCCUCUAGCUGGAAGCUGUGCUCCCUGACUCUCCGGCCCCCACCUCUGCCCCACUCAGCAGGGCGGGCUUGAGGGUUCUGCACCAGGAUUUUCAUUCGUGUGAUUCAAUCUGACUGCAGAGAGCUUCUUAGCGCCCUUGUUCAAACAGCACAAGUUGUUGAGUGAUUUUCUAAUUACACUGGUUUCUCCGCAGAAUAAACGGAACAGCUUCAACAACUCUCUGCGCAGGUCUGACUACAGGAAGCUACGAGGCUCCCUGUGAUCUUUCCUCUCCUUCCUGCCAUCUGACUCCCGGAAGGUGGCACCUGAGCCUCCUGCCAGCGAACUCCUGGGAAAACAAAGCUGAACUCUCUCUAGGCCAAUCCCCAGAGCCACAGCCAGUGGGAGUGAAUUUACAUGCACGUUUCGUUGAUAUUUCCUGCAUGUCUCUUGAAAAGGGGAACUGCCAGAUUGUUUUCCAAAGUGGCUGCACCAUUUUACGUGGCCAUGAACAGUGCUUCAGGGUUCCAGUGCCUCCGUAUCUUCACCAACCAGUACCUACCUACGGCCUGUCUGGGGUCCUCGCUCAGGAAGUGACCUGAAGAAGGGGCUGUUCUCCGUGUACCCCUCCCCACCUGGACUGUAGCAAAUAGUAAACACUGGAUGAGUAAGUAGCACAACGCUGGGCACAGAGGACGGCUGGGAAAUUGUUGAAACUUGACAAGUGGUUGUGGAGUCGGUUGGAACUCUGUCAUAUGAGCAUUUAAUUUUCAGGCUGCAUUUAAAAUCCUUUAUCCCCUUCCUUCCCCCGACACAAGCACACAUGUUCCAUA
This is a long non-coding RNA of Tupaia belangeri chinensis (Chinese tree shrew), 1214 nucleotides long. RefSeq lists it as uncharacterized. The record is from RefSeq and is a predicted model, not a curated record. NCBI's taxonomy places the organism in Eukaryota, Metazoa, Chordata, Mammalia, Scandentia, Tupaiidae. The transcript is spliced from 3 exons.